CGAUUCUUCAUUUCAAACCAUCCCGUGUAGAAAUGGUGGUCGGGUUCUAGUGGGGACCUCACCAGUUUACCCCAUUUGAAAAAGGGCUCCAACUAGAGAAACUGGUGGGGUUCUAGUCGAUUUUGUCACGCUCUAGUUGAUAGGGCCCCGACUAGAAGUUCUAGUUCACUUCUACCGGUUUUAAAAAUUAUUAUUUUUCAACUUAACUUAUUUAUAAUUGAAUUCUCCAUUCAUAUUAACAUUAUUAAUGAUUGUUGCACACGAAAAAUCUCGUGCCUAUGAGGGUUCGAACCUUGGACCUUGGGGACACCAGACGGAUACACAUACCUCUCGGCCAUGAUAGGUUGGAUGGACUUCCGCUUAAAGUACAUCCCGUUUGGAAAUUCCGCCAUUUGUCCCUAUCUCUAGUAGGGCUCUCGCUAGAUUCUGACUAGAAUCUCUAGUCGAGAAAAACUAGUCGGGUUCCAAUCUAAUUCUAGUUAGAUGAUUCUUACAAGCAUUAUUUAUUAAAAAAGUUUGCAUAUUAUUUGAUUACUUAAUUUUUUAAUUAUUUAAACAAAAUCUUUUAUUUAUUAAGUAAAUUAAAAAAGAAUAAACCAUAAAUAAAUAUU
Long non-coding RNA from Leptopilina heterotoma, 611 nucleotides. RefSeq lists it as uncharacterized. The transcript has 3 exons. NCBI's taxonomy places the organism in Eukaryota, Metazoa, Arthropoda, Insecta, Hymenoptera, Figitidae. The record is from RefSeq and is a predicted model, not a curated record.